GAUGAACGCUGGCGGCGUGCCUACCACAUGCAAGUCGAACGGACUUACAUUGAAGCCUAGCGAUAUGUAAGUUAGGGGCGGACGGGUGAGUAACGCGUGGGUAACCUGCCUUGUACUGGGGGACAACAGUUGGAAACGACUGCUAAUACCGCAUAAGCGCACAGCUUCGCAUGAAGCAGUGUGAAAAACUCCGGUGGUACAAGAUGGACCCGCGUCUGAUUAGCUAGUUGGAGGGGUAACGGCCCACCAAGGCAACAAUCAGUAGCCGGUCUGAGAGGAUGAACGGCCACUUUGGGACUGAGACACGGCCCAAACUCCUACGGGAGGCAGCAGUGGGGAAUCUUCCGCAAUGGACAAAAGUCUGACGGAGCAACGCCGCGUGAACAAUGACGGCCUUCGGGUUGUAAAGUUCUGUUAUACGGGACGAAUGGUACGACGGUCAAUACCCGUCGUAAGUGACGGUACCGUAAGAGAAAGCCACGGCUAACUACGUG
RNAcentral lists this ribosomal RNA (494 nucleotides) under uncultured bacterium. Its description in RNAcentral is "bacterial SSU rRNA". It matches the Rfam family "Bacterial small subunit ribosomal RNA", at positions 28 to 507 of the family's 1533-position model. The record is from RNAcentral.